AGAGUUUGAUCCUGGCUCAGGACGAACGCUGGCGGCGUGCUUAACACAUGCAAGUCGAACGAUGAAGCUCUUUCGGGGGUGGAUUAGUGGCGAACGGGUGAGUAAUACGUGAGUAACCUGCCCCCUUCUUUGGGAUAAGCCUUGGAAACGGGGUCUAAUACUGGAUAUUCCUGGUCUGGCGCAUGUCGGGUUGGGGAAAGUUUUAUCGGUGGGGGAUGGGCUCGCGGCCUAUCAGCUUGUUGGUGGGGUGAUGGCCUACCAAGGCGUCGACGGGUAGCCGGCCUGAGAGGGUGACCGGUCACACUGGGACUGAGAUACGGCCCAGACUCCUACGGGAGGCAGCAGUGGGGGAUAUUGCACAAUGGGCGCAAGCCUGAUGCAGCGACGCCGCGUGAGGGAUGACGGCUUUCGGGUUGUAAA
Molecule: ribosomal RNA, 420 nt
Filed under: uncultured bacterium
Lineage: Bacteria
Description: bacterial SSU rRNA
Rfam family: Bacterial small subunit ribosomal RNA
Source: RNAcentral